UGGCUUCUUUCAAACAAAUUAACACUUAAAACAAAAUUAUUUGAAAACGUUAUAGCUGAAAACGCUCGAAAACAUUACCGUGCAUGCGCACAUAAUCAUAGUUUAAUACGCACGGAUCAUGGAAGUGGGGGUACAUGCAUGCGCAGAAAAACGAAUUACAAAAUUUAUCCAUUUUCUGUUUCUAAGUAUAUUGCUAUUGGUUUUUAAUAUCCAGAUGACAAUACAUAGUUCUACAUAUUAUUCAUAAUCUCAUCAGAUAUAAAUAAAUAAACGACAGUGUAUAAUUUACAUUAUAGCAUGCAUGUUCAAUAAUAUAUCUCAUAUUCAAGGACUUUGUCUUUAUUUUUCUUGCAUACGUUGUACUUCUGAUGAAAUUUUGACCAGUUAGGAUGACACAUUAAUCUCUAAAUAGAAACCUGGACCAAGCAUAUAUUAACUAUAAUUAGGCCAAAACACUGAUAUAAAAAUUACAAUUGCAUGCUGUUUGUAUAACAUCACAAAUAAGCCGAUGCACGUCAAGUCAUGGUGGCUAUGUUGGUGGUAUUUCAACAAAAUUUGGGAGUUUACGCAUGUAAGACGGCAACGUCAGGACGACGGCUAUCAAUACAAUGUCACUAAUCCUGUGGCGUAAAAUAAAUGAAUAAUUAAAAGUAUAGCAGGAGUUUUAGACGGCAAAAUGCAUGUUUUCACAUCUCUAGAGUACGCUAGCAUUUCAAGCCGUGACAGGCAAUUUUUUAGCAGAGUUGAUCAAAAUUGCUCUAAAGGUUAAAGCUCUGUUUUACUCGUUCGAAACUGUAUUAAAUUCAUACGAAAGUAAAUGCAAGACAAUAUUUCCAUAAAAUCAUUCAUUUCAAACAGUUUGUUUAGUCGUUGUCCUGACGCCGCCGUCUUAAGCCUGCCGCACACGAGAGCAACUUGCUGAGCUAACCGCCUCGGGUGGCAGCUAGCCCAGCUAUGCAUUUUCGCCGCACACGUUGGGAAAACUACUCAACAACAACAUAAUUGACAAAAUCGUUUGCAUUUUCCUCCGUUUUGUUUAAAGUCACAUGAAGAAACUAUGGUUUCUCAUUGGCUAAUUGAUGCAAGCAGCUCAGCACAUAGCUCACAAUAUCCGCAGACGUUGAGAUUUUUUCCUCGCGAGGUGAAAAAUAUCAAACAGGAUAAAUAUUAAUUUUUCCUCAAGGCCUCGAGAGGUCAAAUCCUCACGAAAACUAUCUGCGCACGAGAGAAACUUGCUGAGCUAGCUGCCACGCGAGGCGGUUAGCUCAGCAAGUUGCUCUCGUGUGCGGCAGGCUUUGCAUGCGUAAACUCCCUAAUAUUACCAACAAGGCCGCCGUUUCAUUGUCUUUUAAUUACUGACAGAUUGAAUGCAAUACAUCCACGUGUAUGUCAAAACAACGAGUGACUGCACAAAAUGGAGAUAAUACAUUCCGAUAAUUGAAUCCGAUUGGGUGGCACUAUUGCUAUGCCAAGUAUUAUUCAAAAUGAUUCACGGUAGCCAAAUAUAAUGCAAGCAUUAGACAAACUAGGCGGUUUAACAAGUGUUUCCUAACUAGCCAAUUUAUUUCGACGCGAAUUCAAUUCAGGCCUCUUAUAGCCGUCGUAUUAAAUUUCGUACUGUCACAACGGAACCUCCAUCUUUGAGGGGCAAAGAGCCUCGUGUUGUUGAGCUAAGCUAGCGACCGUCUAGCUGAUAUACGACUUCUGUCAGAGAUAACUGUAUUGC
Molecule: non-coding RNA, 1726 nt
Organism: Paramuricea clavata
Lineage: Eukaryota; Metazoa; Cnidaria; Anthozoa; Malacalcyonacea; Plexauridae
Source: the annotation of a GenBank genome assembly